This 460-nucleotide ribosomal RNA is filed under the name uncultured bacterium. RNAcentral's name for it is "partial 16S ribosomal RNA". It matches the Rfam family "Bacterial small subunit ribosomal RNA", at positions 338 to 795 of the family's 1533-position model. The record is from RNAcentral.
CCUACGUGAGGCAGCAGUGAGGAAUAUUGGUCAAUGGGCGGAAGCCUGAACCAGCCAAGUAGCGUGCAGGAUGACGGCCCUACGGGUUGUAAACUGCUUUUAUACGGGAAUAACGCGCCUUACGUGUAGGGCUUUGCAUGUACCGUAUGAAUAAGGAACGGCUAAUUCCGUGCCAGGAGCCGCGGUAAUAAGGAAAGUCCGGGCGUUGUCCGGAUUUAUUGGGGUUAAAGGGAACGUAGGCCGCAUGUCAAGCGUGCUGUGAAAUGUCCGGGCUCAACCCGGGCCUUGCAGCGCGAACUGGCGUGCUUGAGUCCGCGGAAAGCAGGCGGAAUUCGUCGUGUAGCGGUGACAUGCUUAGAUAUGACGAAGAACCCCGAUUGCGAAGGCAGCUUGCUGCAGCGGAACUGACGCUGAUGCUCGAAAGCGCGGGUAUCGAACAGGAUUAGAUACCCGAGUAGUC